Molecule: RNA transcript, 2101 nt
Organism: Daucus carota subsp. sativus
Lineage: Eukaryota; Viridiplantae; Streptophyta; Magnoliopsida; Apiales; Apiaceae
Gene name: alternative NAD(P)H-ubiquinone oxidoreductase C1, chloroplastic/mitochondrial-like
Exons: 4
Source: RefSeq, a predicted model, not a curated record
ACCAUAACUAGCCUUCUACAACAAUUUUCCCCACUGUUGCCGUAGAAGAUGUUGCCGUAGCUAUCUAUUAAUCUAGCAUGUUACAACAAUUUUUAAUUGCGUUAGCAUAGACAUAAACAAAGUGUUGCCAAACAAUUAAAUAGGCAAAGUAUAUUAAUUUUAAUAAAGAAAUAUGUAAAGGAAAAGAAAAUAUUUUUAAUAAAGAAAUAUUUUUAAUCAAUAUUUUAUAUAUAUGCGGGUCCCACUAAAAAAUUGCCACGCUGUUUGAACAACUCAGCUCCAAAUUACACUAAUUCAUCAUCGACACUCAACCCCCUUUCUCAAUGUCGAAAGCUAAAAAAUAGGGUUCGAGAGCGGCGAAGAGAGGGCUGGAAAUGGAAGCAAGCUGUGAGUUAAGGGAGGAUUAAAACUUUAUUAGUUCUUGAACUGGGGUUGAAUUUAAUCUUCUUUGAUUUAAGGUACUAUUCUUACUCGAUUUUGUUUCUUGUACCUGUAUAUGCAUAUGCCUGUGUAUGUACAUCUCUCUCUCUCUCUCCUGAGCUGUUCCUUCUCAUGUCUAGGUCAGAUUCACUGUUCGAUUUUCGCUUGCAUCGCUAAUUACUACUAAUCACACUCUAGAUCCGCGAAUCUCGGAUACGUGUUUCGCCUAAUUCAACUCGAAUCUGUUGUUAAUCUGUUAAUUAGUGUUUGACUCAGGUCUUGACUUCAUUAAUUAAGGCUCAGCUACUUGGAUAAUGUUUAUCUUACUUACUGUGUCUAUAGCUUGAAUGGCCUGAUGAUAUAAAACCCCAGGUUAGCUGUAAUUUUAUUGAUUUUUUACAUUGUUAUUUCUAUUUAUGCCUCUUUGAAAUAAUUUGCUCCUCAAUCAGGGUAGUAUGCACUAUGCACUUUAAGUAUUAUUGCUGAUAUUGUUUAAUUUACUUACUGUGUCUAUAGCUUGGGAUCAUUUGCUCAUUUGGGUUCUUGUUUAAGUAGUGCAACCGACAGUUUGUUAUGUUUAUGUUGCUUUGGAAUCUUCCACACAAGCUUAAGAUUGGUUUGUUCUUGCAGGGUGAUGGUUGAUAAUGUUGGUUGUGCUAAUGCCACCAGAGUUAUAGUAUGCACUACAGUAGUUUCUUAGAACCACCCAACUUUUUGUAUUUAAAUAAAAAGUCUUGUUUUUUGACUAAUAAUAGUUGAUUUCUUGACUAAUUGUCCUGUUUUUCUCAAAGAUUGGUAGUGCCAGAAAACAUGGAAUUCUUUUAGAAGCCAUUUAAAUCCUCACAGAUCUUGACAUGUCGAUUAAGAAAGCUUAUAUUUCUUCUUAUGAAAGAUGGUUCAUGGAUGUCUCUAGGUAAAAUCCAAUUUGCUGGAUCGAAAAGUAUUGAGAGGUUAACACCGGAGCAGGUACUGCCAUACUUAUAUCCACUUAUCUUGCUGAUUUGUUUGCUUUUAUCCAGUAAACUUUAAUAAUAAUUUUAAUGUUGUGUGUUAGUUCCAACACAAUAUGAUUCAGAGACCAUUCCAAUUCUUGUUGUGCCAUCCCUUUUAAUAGUUGACAUGCUAGUAAUUAAUUACGAGCAAUACAGAGCAUUAUUAAUUAAUUUUGUUUAUGUUCUGUUUCUCUGAUCUAGACACUGAUUAUAACUUAUAUUUGGUCUAACCUCUAACAAUAGCAAGACGUUUGUUCUUGGAAUCUUGCUUCAUGGAAACAAAUAUUUGAGUGUGGAGUGUUGGUUCAAAGAAACAGGUGCUUCUGAUUGACAAGUUUGAAAGAUUUAUCUUUAAGCCAAUGUUACAUGAGCUUCUGAGUGGAGAAGUAGAUUCAUGGGAAAUAGCUCCACGGUUUUCAGAUCUUCUAGCAAAAACUGGUGUGCAAUUUUUACAAGAUAGAGUGAAACUUCUUCAUCCAUAUGAUAAUUUGCGACUGAGCGGGCCUACAAGAAUGGGAGACUUGCUAUGUUUGCGGUGCUCGGAUUCUUUAUGAUUUGUUAAGUGUUUGACAUAAGUAGUAGUAUGGAUGUAUAUUUUGGAUGUUUUUGGAAUGUAUGGAAAUCUAUGUAUUCAAAUAGUACCUUUCAAUUUGAUAAUUUUUAGAACCUAUUGCAAUAGUCAUAUAAAA